CACUUGACCUUCUAACCACCCUCUCGGAGACACAAGAAAAACAUCCAGGGGGCUGCUAAUGCAGUGAGAUCUGAAUCAGAUGAUAUUCAGGAGGGCUCAGAAGAGGGAAACAAGGCAGAAGAAUGCUCUGAGCUGCAGAAUGUGGCUCCGGGAAGAGCAGGCCAGGGUGGCAAUGUCUUUGCUGCUUUCUUUUUGUUCCAUGGCAGACGCUGGAGCACAUGACAUUGGGUAGCUGAGGACACUGGCUCUGUGCACUAUCUUCUUCUUCAGCAAGCUGGCAUGGAGACCCAACUCAGGUGUCUCAGAGGUGCAGCCUUUGGCUAAGCAUCUUCCUGCUGGGACCUGGACCAUGUUCCUGCCCUGUUUGAGUUCCUGUCCUGACUUUCCUUCGGCAAUGAAUGGUGACAUGAAACUGUAAGCCAAAUAAACCUUUUCCUUCCCAAGUUUCUUCGGUUAUGGUGUCUCAUCGCAGCAACAGUAACCUUAAGUAAGACAGUACCCAAGCUUCUGUUUUGUGUUCACUCAAAUGCUAAGAAUGUUAUUGUGUAGUUUGGCUGUAGCACUGGGGAGAGGGGCAUGUCCACCAAUUAGUGAGGUGGUCCACAGUAACCAUUAACUAUCCACUUACUUUAGACAUCUCAGUGACGUGUACCUGGAUACCUCAGAAUGGCCUGAGCACAUAAUUUCUCUCUCCUGAAAGCUGUUGGUGAAG
Molecule: long non-coding RNA, 712 nt
Organism: Rattus norvegicus (Norway rat)
Lineage: Eukaryota; Metazoa; Chordata; Mammalia; Rodentia; Muridae
Source: Ensembl